Long non-coding RNA from Ziziphus jujuba (common jujube), 1765 nucleotides. RefSeq lists it as uncharacterized. The transcript has 2 exons. Lineage: Eukaryota; Viridiplantae; Streptophyta; Magnoliopsida; Rosales; Rhamnaceae. The record is from RefSeq and is a predicted model, not a curated record.
AGUGUCAUUUGGGCUAGCCCAUGGUUAAAGUGUUUUUGUUCAAUUGGGCUGGGCCCAUGGUCAAUGUCUGCCACUCUUCUUCUUCUUCUUCUUCUUGGCAAAGGCUACUCUGGUGUUUUUGUUGCCCAGAAAACCUCUGAAGAUAUAUUUUAAAAAUGAGAUUUUGUGAUUUUGAAGAAUGUACCUAAAUAUGUUGCUCGUUGUUCUUUUUUUUUUUUUUUCUCUGUUUUUGGUGAAAGAUUUUUGCAUUUGUAUUUGUAAUGGUAUGAAGAAAAAAACAAUUUAAUAAGAAGUUUUUUUUUUUUUUUUCCUUAAUGCUACAAAAUGGUUCAAUUUAUAUAUAUAUAUAUAUAUAUAGUAGUAGAAAGCAAACCAAGUUGAACAGGAAAUUUAGUCAUCAUUUAAGGAGUAAUUUGUAUUUUCUUUUCCCCUAAGAAUUACUAUAUUUUAGAUUGAUACUCCCUCAAUGUAUUGUUAUUAAUUCUAAACCAAUGUGAACCCGGGCAGAUUUUUUUGUCAGCCAUUUUCCGAGUAAUGAGCCCUUAGUGUGUGGUCAUGGCUACAGGAAGCACAGAGCUAUGCAUUAUUGAAGAUGGAGAGAGAAAGAGAGAGAGAGAGAGAGUGAUGAAACACCUAAGAAAUUAUGUAGGUCCUUAUAAUCUUAUUUGUCCAUUCAUAUUGUGGAAUAGAAAACAUGCUGUAACAAGGUAUAGAUCAUAAUUGAAUUCUGUAAUGGACGGAGUUAGAGUGGUGCAGAAUUUCAUAUUUUAUGUUUUGCGUUAAAUGCAAUGGUGAUUUGAUUUGUGUUUGAUCUUAUAUAGUUAUAUUAUAUGCCUUUUAACCCUCUAUGUGAAAAAAACAAAAGAUAAUGGAGAAGAUUAUUUGGUAAAAACUACUGGAGUAAAGGACAAAUCCCUCAAGAUAAAGUGUGUUGGAGUUAAAAUGGGGUCAUGUUCUCUAGAGAAUAUUGGAUAUAAUCAUCCCUUAAUCUUGUUUUCAAAUUUGUGUAUGAAGAGAGAUGAAUUAUCUGAACAUUACAAACCACUUUUUUUCUUUUUCUUUUUUCUUCCCUUUUUUUUUUUUUUUUUUUUCGUCUUUUAUCAAUUGGUUUCCAAUAAUGUUAUACUUAUUUUGCCAGUUUGUGCACUGGAGUAAUAAGUUUUCAUCAAGUAUUUAUAUUUUGCAGGCUCUUUUCUUGUGGGACAAGUAAAAGAAGUUACAGGCAUCUUUUGCGCAUCGCAUACGGCUCUACAAUGAAAGUGAAGGGUGUGUGAAGAAAGGACCUAUCAAGAAUUCCACAAAUAUUCCUUCGAGGGUGUUCUGCAAUUUGAUACAACUAAAAACCAAUAUUCAACUGCAAGACAAUGACAACUUUCAUGCCACCUCCAACCUUCAGCAACAUCUGAUUUGUCAUGGAGGAUUCCACAAUUCAGAUUACACACAAAUGUUGGUGUAGAUGAUGAGUUAUGGUCUAUUUUCAUGGAGGACAUUUGAUCUGUGCUGCUGCUCAUCAGUUGAGAUACGCUUGCUGUUUACUUGCUAUUUUCUUUUAAUGCAGGUAUAAUAGCAAGCUGUAAAAGGCCACCCCAAAAGGAUAACUGGCUUAUUUAAUAAAACACAGUUCAAGCCAAUAAAAUAAUAACGUGUACAUAUAUUAAUGAAAUCCAAUUCAAGUCAAAAGUAUCUUAUAGCGUUUUUUGAUAAAUCGGUUUAUCUUAUGGUUAAUUAAACUUGAUUUAAGGAAAUGAAGAAAUAUUUCAAUAUC